AUCAGAAGUAAAGCACAGAAUUUGUAAUUCUAAAUUAUUUCAUGCCUUAAAAGGAAAAAAAAAUUAUAACCUAGUUCAUUGGUCAUAGUAUACCCAUCCAACCCAAAGUUAUUAUAUAUAUAUAGACCUUUUGCUACCAAAAUGCAGACUUCAAAAUCAGGGAAACACUAUUACAACUAAAAUUACAAAUGCUAACGAACCAGCCAUGUAUCAGGUACAACUAAAAUUUACUAUUUCUAUAUAUAUAUAUAUAGACCUAUUGCAACCAAAAUGUAGACUUCAAAAUCAGGGAAACACUAUUACAACUAAAAUUACAUAUGCUAACGGACCAGUCACGUAUCAGGUACAACUAAAAUUACAACUAAACUUUAUAUAUAUAUAUAUAUAGACCUAUUGCUACCAAAAUGUAGACUUCAAAAUCAGGGGAACACUAUUACAAAUAAAAUUACAAAUGGUAACGAACCAGUCAUGUAUCAGGUACAACUAAAAUUUCCCUUCGAAAUGGAAGCUCUAUGACAUAGGAUGGCAUCAGUUUAAGACUUGUCAUUUAAGCCUGUUUUUUGCAAGUCUUGUCCGCUUCCACUUAGUACAAUGGCAUCUAUUCAAAACCUUAGAGGAAGCUCCAUGAGGAAUGUGAUAGCAGCCAAACAUGUCCC
RNAcentral lists this long non-coding RNA (656 nucleotides) under Elaeis guineensis (African oil palm). Its description in RNAcentral is "long non-coding RNA (EGUI_LNC010696)". The record is from RNAcentral. Lineage: Eukaryota; Viridiplantae; Streptophyta; Magnoliopsida; Arecales; Arecaceae.